GCUGGGUGUGGUGGUGCAUGCCUGUAAUCCCAGCAUCUAGGGAGUCUGAGGCAGGAAGAUGAAGAUUUCAAAGCCAGCCUCAGC
This 84-nucleotide small RNA is filed under the name Marmota monax (woodchuck). Lineage: Eukaryota; Metazoa; Chordata; Mammalia; Rodentia; Sciuridae. The record is from RNAcentral.